AGGGGACAAGCGUUAUCCGGAUUCACUGGGCGUAAAGAGCGUUGAGGCGGUUCCGUAAGUUGGGCGUGAAAGCUCCGGGCUUAACUCGGAGAUGUCGUUCAAUACUGCGGGGCUUGAGGACAGCAGAGGAAGGUGGAAUUCCCGGUGUAGUGGUGAAAUGCGUAGAUAUCGGGAGGAACACCCGUGGCGAAGGCGGCCUUCUGGGCUGUUCCUGACGCUGAAGGCGAAAGCUAGGGGAGCGAACGGGAUUAGAUACCCCGGUAGUCCUAGCUGUAAACGAUGGAUGCUGGGUGUGGGGGGUGUAAAUUCCCUCUGUGCCGAAGCAAACGCGUUAAGCAUCCCGCCUGGGGACUACGGCCGCAAGGCUAAAACUCAAACGAAUUGACGGGGGCCCGCACAAGCAGCGGAGCGUGUGGUUUAAUUCGAUGCUACACGAAGAACCUUACCUGGGUUUGACAUGCACGUGGUAGGGAACCGAAAGGGGACCGACCUUCGGGAGCGUGCACAGGUGCUGCAUGGCUGUCGUCAGCUCGUGCCGUGAGGUGUCGGGUUAAGUCCCGUAACGAGCGCAACCCUUGCCCUUAGUUACAAGUGUCUAAGGGGACUGCCCGGGACAACUGGGAGGAAGGUGGGGAUGACGUCAAGUCAGCAUGGCCUUUAUAUCCAGGGCUACACACACGCUACAAUGGCCGGUACAAUAGGUUGCGAAGUCGUGAGGCGGAGCCAAUCCUCAAAGCCGGUCUCAGUUCGAAUUGCAGUCUGCAACUCGACUGCAUGAAGCUGGAGUUGCUAGUAAUCGCAGGUCAGCUAUACUGCGGUGAAUACGUUCCCGGGCCUUGCA
This 841-nucleotide ribosomal RNA is filed under the name uncultured Chloroflexota bacterium. RNAcentral's name for it is "bacterial SSU rRNA". It matches the Rfam family "Bacterial small subunit ribosomal RNA", at positions 529 to 1385 of the family's 1533-position model. Lineage: Bacteria; Bacillati; Chloroflexota. The record is from RNAcentral.